This 253-nucleotide ribosomal RNA is filed under the name uncultured bacterium. Its description in RNAcentral is "partial 16S ribosomal RNA". It matches the Rfam family "Bacterial small subunit ribosomal RNA", at positions 524 to 776 of the family's 1533-position model. The record is from RNAcentral.
UACAGAGGUGCCGAGCGUUAGGCGGAAUCACUGGGCUUAAAGCGUGUGUAGGCGGGCCGUUAAGUGCCCCGUGAAAUCCCCCGGCUCAACCGGGGAACGGCGGGGCAUACUGGCGGCCUUGAGCCACUUAAGGGCAGACGGAACAAGCGGUGGAGCGGUGAAAUGCGUAGAUAUCGGGAGGAACACCUGUGGCGAAAGCGGCUCUCUGGACCACAACUGACGCUGAGGCGCGAAAGCUAGGGGAGCAAACAGG